CCGCGGCGUCGCCGGUGGUGGCGAUGCCGGCCUCGAUGCCGUCGAGGAGCCAGGUCAGGCCGAGGGCGAACCCGGUGUCCCAGUCGCCGUCCGUGGC
Molecule: transfer RNA, 97 nt
Filed under: Streptosporangium pseudovulgare
Lineage: Bacteria; Bacillati; Actinomycetota; Actinomycetes; Streptosporangiales; Streptosporangiaceae
Description: tRNA-Gly
Source: RNAcentral